AAAAGAGGAAAAAGGAGGGCUUUUGUAACCAAGAGCAAUAAUGCUAGGAAGGGAAAAUGGGAACAGACUAAGCAACACAGAGAGUAGGAUACCCCAAAAAACCCAGCACAGAUCUAUGUGGUGUCUGAAGAUGGAAAAGCAUUGCCUAAAUUAAGAAAGCUUUCUUCCAUCUCAAUAAAUGAAAUGUAAAAGUUAGACUCUCUCCUGCAGAAAAGUCUAACUUGUCUGGCUCUUCAAAUGUACUUGAAAAUGUUAUCCACUUCCCUUUGCAGUGAAAUGGUUUCACCUCCCAGGGGCAUGAAGCUGAGAGCUCCUCAGUACCAAGCUUUCACGAGGCCACUCCUGCAGUCACCGCUGCUGAAAGCUUCAGGCUUCAGGGCCAAAAUCCUUCAAGAAUUCCCUCCAAAGGAGAAGAUAAUGUGAUGUAACUUCUUUUACUAUUUAGCUAGUAGAUCAAAGGGGAUAAUGAAGGAUGGCUGCACACACCAGAACCCAUUCAAUGUCAGCAGCAGGAUGACUGAGAGCAAGAUGGCUGGAAGGGAAAGGGACUGGGGACUGCCACCUCUCUUCUGGCAUUGGCACACAAUGAAAUUGUCUCAGGAUGUCUCAUGGAAGCACUGUCUUAAUGCAAGUACUUGUUAGAAGGAAAAUGGAAAUCAAAGACAGAACUGGAAAACCUCUGUGUCCUGUUUGGUGUUUCUUUGGAAGGUGUGGAUAUAUGGAGACAAGCUUGAGGGAUAGGAUCUCGUAUGUCUGCAGAGGAUUUAAUGGGUGAAAGAAGUGUGUGCAUAUGCAGCAGCUGCAGCACACACUGGAGCAAGUGGAUGUAUAAUCUAUUUGGAGAUAACUGGGUAGUUCUCUCACCAGUGUAUGGGGCUGACUGCAUGCUUAGUAGCUGCAAAGUAUGUUUACAGCAAGCGUGCUAUUUUUGAAGAGUUCUGUACUUAACAAUGCAUGGCAAGAGAGCACAGCACACAGCUGCUCCUGCUAGGCUGCUUCAUGUUCUGCAACUGCAGAGCACGCUUAGUCCUGACAUCUGAAGUUUCCAGACAUGAAGCAACAACUUCAGAAAAGUCUGCUUCCUAUAGCUAUCCAAAUUCCAGAAAGCUCAGAAAAAUUUAUGAACUUUUCAAAAUCUGCCUAAAUGGGAUUUCCAGACAGAAAGAGUAAAUGUGUUUGGGAAAAAGAUGCCUGCAACUUUCAGAAAGUCCUUCUCUACCUGUAGAAACCUGAG
Molecule: long non-coding RNA, 1234 nt
Filed under: Gallus gallus (chicken)
Lineage: Eukaryota; Metazoa; Chordata; Aves; Galliformes; Phasianidae
Description: lncRNA (ENSGALG00010008709.1)
Source: RNAcentral